This 624-nucleotide ribosomal RNA is filed under the name uncultured bacterium. RNAcentral describes it as "bacterial SSU rRNA". It matches the Rfam family "Bacterial small subunit ribosomal RNA", at positions 114 to 751 of the family's 1533-position model. The record is from RNAcentral.
CACGUGAGUAACCUGCCCCUGACUCUGGGAUAAGCCUUGGAAACGAGGUCUAAUACCGGAUAUGUGACGUUCAGGCAUCUGAUGCGUCUGGAAAGAUUUAUCGGUCAGGGAUGGACUCGCGGCCUAUCAGCUUGUUGGUGGGGUAACGGCCUACCAAGGCGACGACGGGUAGCCGGCCUGAGAGGGCGACCGGCCACACUGGGACUGAGACACGGCCCAGACUCCUACGGGAGGCAGCAGUGGGGAAUAUUGCACAAUGGGCGCAAGCCUGAUGCAGCGACGCCGCGUGAGGGAUGAAGGCCUUCGGGUUGUAAACCUCUUUCAGCAGGGAAGAAGCGCAAGUGACGGUACCUGCAGAAGAAGCGCCGGCUAACUACGUGCCAGCAGCCGCGGUAAUACGUAGGGCGCAAGCGUUGUCCGGAAUUAUUGGGCGUAAAGAGCUCGUAGGCGGUUUGUCGCGUCUGCUGUGAAAACUCGAGGCUCAACCUCGGGCUUGCAGUGGGUACGGGCAGACUAGAGUGCGGUAGGGGAGACUGGAAUUCCUGGUGUAGCGGUGGAAUGCGCAGAUAUCAGGAGGAACACCGAUGGCGAAGGCAGGUCUCUGGGCCGCAACUGACGCUGAGG